This 253-nucleotide ribosomal RNA is filed under the name uncultured bacterium. RNAcentral describes it as "partial 16S ribosomal RNA". It matches the Rfam family "Bacterial small subunit ribosomal RNA", at positions 524 to 776 of the family's 1533-position model. The record is from RNAcentral.
UACGUAGGGACCGAGCGUUGUCCGGAAUCACUGGGCGUAAAGCGCACGUAGGCGGAUUGUUAAGUCAGGGGUGAAAUCCUGGAGCUCAACUCCAGAACUGCCUUUGAUACUGGCGAUCUCGAGUCCGGGAGAGGUGAGUGGAACUGCGAGUGUAGAGGUGAAAUUCGUAGAUAUUCGCAAGAACACCAGUGGCGAAGGCGGCUCACUGGCCCGGUACUGACGCUGAGGUGCGAAAGCGUGGGGAGCAAACAGG